This 28-nucleotide small RNA is filed under the name Bombyx mori (domestic silkworm). Its description in RNAcentral is "ovarian small RNA-17328". The record is from RNAcentral. Lineage: Eukaryota; Metazoa; Arthropoda; Insecta; Lepidoptera; Bombycidae.
GGAUAGGUAUGCCCAGGCUUGCGGGGUC